GAUGAACGCUGGCGGCGUGCCUAAUACAUGCAAGUCGAGCGAACGGACGAGAAGCUUGCUUCUCUGAUGUUAGCGGCGGACGGGUGAGUAACACGUGGAUAACCUACCUAUAAGACUGGGAUAACUUCGGGAAACCGUAGCUAAUACCGGAUAAUAUUUUGAACCGCAUGGUUCAAAAGUGAAAGACGGUCUUGCUGUCACUUAUAGAUGGAUCCGCGCUGCAUUAGCUAGUUGGUAAGGUAACGGCUUACCAAGGCAACGAUGCAUAGCCGACCUGAGAGGGUGAUCGGCCACACUGGAACUGAGACACGGUCCAGACUCCUACGGGAGGCAGCAGUAGGGAAUCUUCCGCAAUGGGCGAAAGCCUGACGGAGCAACGCCGCGUGAGUGAUGAAGGUCUUCGGAUCGUAAAACUCUGUUAUUAGGGAAGAACAUAUGUGUAAGUAACUGUGUACAUCUUGACGGUACCUAAUCAGAAAGCCACGGCUAACUACGCG
Molecule: ribosomal RNA, 497 nt
Filed under: uncultured bacterium
Lineage: Bacteria
Description: partial 16S ribosomal RNA
Rfam family: Bacterial small subunit ribosomal RNA
Source: RNAcentral